UACAGAGGUGGCAAGCGUUGUUCGGAAUUACUGGGCGUAAAGGGCGCGUAGGCGGGUCUCCAAGUCGGUGGUGAAAUCUUUCAGCUCAACUGGAAAAGUGCCGCCGAUACUGGGGAUCUCGAGGGAGGUAGGGGUCGAUGGAACUAAUGGUGGAGCGGUGAAAUGCGUAGAUAUCAUUAGGAACGCCGGUGGCGAAAGCGAUCGACUGGACCUCUUCUGACGCUGAGGCGCGAAAGCCAGGGGAGCAAACGGG
RNAcentral lists this ribosomal RNA (253 nucleotides) under uncultured bacterium. RNAcentral's name for it is "partial 16S ribosomal RNA". It matches the Rfam family "Bacterial small subunit ribosomal RNA", at positions 524 to 776 of the family's 1533-position model. The record is from RNAcentral.